RNAcentral lists this transfer RNA (74 nucleotides) under Aeromonas phage PS1. Its description in RNAcentral is "tRNA-Arg". Lineage: Duplodnaviria; Heunggongvirae; Uroviricota; Caudoviricetes; Chimalliviridae. RNAcentral also lists the same sequence under 2 other names. The record is from RNAcentral.
GAGCUCGUAAUUCAGUUGGAUAGAAUAGAAGCCUUCUAAGCUUCCUGUCGUGCGUUCAAGUCGCACCGAGCUCA